CCUACGGGAGGCAGCAGUGAGGAAUAUUGGUCAAUGGACGAGAGUCUGAACCAGCCAAGUAGCGUGAAGGAUGACUGCCCUAUGGGUUGUAAACUUCUUUUAUAUGGGAAUAAAAUGUUCCACGUGUGGGUUUUUGUAUGUACCAUAUGAAUAAGGAUCGGCUAACUCCGUGCCAGCAGCCGCGGUAAUACGGAGGAUCCGAGCGUUAUCCGGAUUUAUUGGGUUUAAAGGGAGCGUAGGUGGAUUGUUAAGUCAGUUGUGAAAGUUUGCGGCUCAACCGUAAAAUUGCAGUUGAUACUGGCAGUCUUGAGUACAGUAGAGGUAGGCGGAAUGCGUGGUGUAGCGGUGAAAUGCUUAGAUAUCACGAAGAACUCCGAUUGCGAAGGCAGCUCACUAGACUGCAACUGACACUGAGGCUCGAAAGUGUGGGUAUCAAACAGGAUUAGAUACCCCUGUAGUC
RNAcentral lists this ribosomal RNA (460 nucleotides) under uncultured bacterium. RNAcentral describes it as "partial 16S ribosomal RNA". It matches the Rfam family "Bacterial small subunit ribosomal RNA", at positions 338 to 795 of the family's 1533-position model. The record is from RNAcentral.